Molecule: long non-coding RNA, 726 nt
Organism: Amaranthus tricolor (Joseph's coat)
Lineage: Eukaryota; Viridiplantae; Streptophyta; Magnoliopsida; Caryophyllales; Amaranthaceae
Exons: 2
Source: RefSeq, a predicted model, not a curated record
AUAUACAUAAUCUGACUCUAAGUGGAGGUGGACUAAACAAAUCUAACUUUUAUUUCAACGAAGUAAAGUUAGAAGAGGGUGUAUGAUCUGAAUCUAGUCCGACCCGUUGGGUUUUAGUAACAAAAAUUUCCUCUUUUUGAGUGGGUUGUCUUGUAACAAGUGAAAACUCUUUGAAACAAAUAGAAGUAUACCCGAACAGGUAGGUGAGAGUUGAAACUUGGUAAUUGAUCCGAUCCAUCAUUCUGCAUUCACAGAACAACGAGAGAAGAUAACAAAAAUGGUGCUGAUUCUGAAAGGAGAGCCCCUCGUCCAUAAAUUAGCUAUGGUGGCCAAGUGGGUGGUAUACCCAGGUGUCUUCGUCGCCGCUUAUGUCUAUGCGCCUCCCAAUUACAACCACCCCAACAAAUCUAUAGCUGCUGCUACUUCUUCUGAUUGAUUUUUUGGUUAUCUCUGGUGCUUGAUGAUAGUUUGAUCUUGCAGUUUUAGGUGUGCAAAAAUUCUCAUGACUUUAUCAUGUUUUACUCUGUUAAUGUUGGCAAAACGUCAAACAUCAAAAUCACUUUUUGUGAGAUGAACGCCCUUUCUUGUAAUGAUUUUCUGUUUAAGAAUUGUGUGUUCUAAUGAACAACUCUGAUAAUUGAAUGAUAAAUGUCUCCGUCUACCUUGUUCUGGGUUGUUUGACCUGUUUUAGGAUUUUGCUUUAAAAGAUUUCAGCUUUUUUAUUGA